UACGUAGGGUGCAAGCGUUGUCCGGAAUUAUUGGGCGUAAAGAGCUCGUAGGCGGUCUGUUGCGUCGCUGUGAAAACCCGGGGCUCAACCCCGGGCCUGCAGCCGAUACGGGCAGACUAGAGGUGAGGUAGGGGAGAAUGGAAUUCCCGGUGUAGCGGUGAAAUGCGCAGAUAUCGGGAGGAACACCGGUGGCGAAGGCGGUUCUCUGGGCCUUACCUGACGCUGAGGAGCGAAAGCGUGGGGAGCGAACAGG
This 253-nucleotide ribosomal RNA is filed under the name uncultured bacterium. Its description in RNAcentral is "partial 16S ribosomal RNA". It matches the Rfam family "Bacterial small subunit ribosomal RNA", at positions 524 to 776 of the family's 1533-position model. The record is from RNAcentral.